UUUUUUUUUUUUUUUUUCUGAAGGUGUACCUAGAUGACAUUUAAAGACGGCUUCAACAGUAUAAGAAAUAAAUACCCGGCAGAACAAGCUGUUAGGUGACUGUAAACUAGGAGGGGUUUUCUGACUGCAGUUCAAACUUAAUGAUUAAUUUGCAGUCUCAAUAUAAUGCAUUUUUAAUCAUACACUUGAAAGUAAUGAUGAAAUCUGCAGGACCAGCAAUAAGGAAGCAGCACAGCUAUACACAUAUAUUCUGAUAACGCAGCAUGCAGGCAGUAUCUUCCUUGGUUGAUAGCUACAACACGUACCAGCAAUGAAAAUGCUAUAGAUGUUUUCAGAGUGCUUCUUUCUCAGGGAGCUAGAAAAUGUUCAGCCUGUAGGAUAUACAUUGUAUUACUACUGACUUUCUCAUGCAAGGUUUGGUGCAGAUGAAAGUGUAUGACCUUCAAGUCAGCUUGUUUUCACCCUUGUUUUGUGAGCAAUGCCCAGGAGCUGCUGUCUGUGAAAUAAGUAUUAGUGUUAUACUGAUGAGAGAAGAGAUGAGUAAUGUGUGUUCUGUAGCCACUUCAUUUCAAGAAAUCCAGUUCAUUUAUAAAUAAUACAAUCUGAAUUUAUUUGUAGUUGCACAUACAUAUUCCCAGCAGCAGUGCUCAUAUAAACAACUCCUGGUAUCUCUGUCAGUGGCAUCUUGUCCAUCCCCUGGCUAAUCCUCAUUUAUGCUAGAACAACUGCAUAUGGAGUCUGUGCUAAAAAACAGAUGAAGGAACUCAUACAACUAAAAAAGCAUUUUUGUUUUUUCUGAUUUUUUCCUUAAUUUAUUUUUAGCCAAUAUUGUUUUCAGACAUGGCACUUGGCUCUUAGUAGCAUGGAAUCAGACUAUUUUCUAUUUCUCCUAAAGAGGGAGGUAGGACUGUAAUGUCCUCAUCAUUAUUACUACUGUGCAUAUAGAGAAUGUGAGUGUCAGAAUGCGAAGGGGUAAUAUUAAAAAUGCUAAACUCAUGCAUUCUCAAAAUGAUGAUAAUUAUGGAGUGUUCAUAGUCAUUACUUAAGUUAACAGUCUCUUUUAUUCAGAAGUAGGGGUUUUUGUAAUGGUGGUAGGUUAUUCUCUAUGAAUUUCUUACCUAAUUUAUAAGGAAAUUGAUGUAAUUGAAUGUAGGAUUGUGGAUUAUCAAUGAAGUAAUAAUUAUUAACAGUAUUAUGGAGGUAUAAAAUGUUCCCGUGGGUUUUGUUUUAUUUUUCUACCACACUAUAGUGAUAUUUAUUUUUUGUACCUUAAAAGUGCUGGAAAUGGGAAAACUUGUCAUGGAAGUUCUUGGGAAAUUUGUUCUGCUUUCAAUAGGAAAUAUUGAGAUGCUUACUCAACUGUCUCAGAAUUACAGUGCAGUUUAGGGAAUUAAUUAUUACACUGGCAGCACAGACUCUUUUCAGAGCUUCCUGCCAUGGUCCUGCUGUGUUGUACAAGUGCAGUCAACAACACAUUUCUGCUUGUUAUUCAAGCCCUUAGUCAUAGCCCAAAUAACUUGAUUUGACCUUGCUCAGCUGAAUCUGGCUUUAUUUGUCUCUGCAGUAGAUCACCAUUCUUCACAUUCCGGAUGGUGAAGGAAGGGGAUGAAUUAAUGCUCCUGCUAUGAAGACAGUGCUCCACGCUGCUUGCGUAGGCCGUGAGUCAUGGUUUCCUUGAUGGUCACUGGGGGAAGGGAUUCAUAAUGAAUGGCAGCACUGCCCCUCCCACCAUGUCUAGCUGUGACUAAGAACAUGGCAUUGCUCAUCCAGAGACACAGGUGACAACUCCAUAGAGUGAGGAGUGUUUGUGCACGUUAUUGUGUGCAACGGUAUGUACACUGAUGGGCAGGAUGGCAGAGGAGCUUUGUAUGAGAUAUUCCUCUGAGUAGAUAAAGCCAGUGAGCUGUGAAGACACAUAACCUUUUGGUGCUAGCUGUUUUGAUGAAUAACUAAUGCUAGUACUUCCAAGGAUAAUACUCUGUAUGGUUUGGAGAGAUGAUUUGUGAGUGUGUUUUGGAAAACACAGUGACACAUCUUGCUCACUUUGUGAGGCACGCUCUCACUUUGUGAUGGAUCUAAGUCAUACAAGAUUCUUGUCAGUUAUAUAUCUGGUUCAGAAUUUUAUGGGAAGGAGACACAGCAUGGUUGUGCAGAGAACAAAGGUCAGACAGAUGGGAAGUGAAUGCUACAGAACCAUGGUGAGUCAUUUUAAGUCACAAAUUUAAUUGAUUCAUUUAAGAAUAUCAUAAACACUCCUAUAACUUCCAUCACAAUGAUUAUGCAUGCUGCAAGAGUUGCUUAAUGAAGCUUACCUAAGUCUCAGCCAGCCCUACCAUUCUGCAACAAAAGAAAUAAUGGAGCAUUGUAAUAACAGAGCCUAAAGAUGUCUGUUCAGUAAACACAGAAAAUUUCUCUGAACAGAGAAAAUUUCUUUCCACUGGAAGGACAAUAUAGGUCUGCAUAUGUGCCUGCUUGCACAUAUGUGCAAAGGCUUUAAGGGGAGUGUAUUUGUUAACCAGAGAACAAAAAGUGUUUGUGCUUGUAAGGUGCAAGUAACUGAAAUUGCUGAAGCAUCAUUGGUGUUAUACAUUGAAGAAACGCUAAUUUGGCUAAAGUAUAAAGGUUUUGGAGGAAACAAGGGUACUUUUAUACAUACAUAAUGUCUCACAACAAUAACAAAAACAGGGCCAGAAGAAGAGAUCUGGGCCAGGAAACUGCACAAACUUUGUUAAUGGAUACGUGUCAGAACAAAAUAAUGGUAACAGAGGCCAGUUCUGACUACACUUAUUCCUCAGUAACUCCAUCAUACCUAAAAAGAUACCACAGAUGUGACCAAGCAAACAUUGUGGGUACAAGGAAAGAGUCAAAAAAAAUACUUGCGAACUUGAAAGCAAUGGAAUUGAUGGUGAUGAAGAUCAUUGAAUAAGGCUUUGAAGAAUUCUGUGUUACCUUGUGAACUGCUGGGUUAAGAGAGAAAGCAGUGCAUGCUGUAGCUGAUGCUGCUGCUUGCAGUGGGAGCACACCAGGGCCAGGAGGGAAUUACUCAUCCACUGCCCAGCUAGGUGACCAACUCUGUGUUUAGUGAAUGUGGAGCUAAGCAAUUUCUUCAGGUUGCUGACCUCUUCCAACCUGGGCUGCAGCAGCAGAAGGCAGUAGCAAGCUAAGGAGGGAUGCCCCCAACCUCAGCAAUAAUCAGCUUUCAAUGAGAUGAGAUAAUCAGCAUGCUUCCAGCCCAGCUGAGCUUGUGCAGACAAAGCAAUAGCUACAGAACUGUGAAGGAGGGCAGUAUAUAUUCUUGCUGGAGCCAGUCCCAGAUACUUGAGUUUCCAGUCCCAGUUUUAGUCUCAGGGGAGCACAAAGAAAGUUUCUGGUUAGUCUGUAUUUAAGAAAGUAAGAGAUAAAGGCUCCCGAUCCUCAUUUACUUAGCAGAUCAACAGAAUCCAUCAUUGUUGAUUUUUAAUGAGUUAACCAUGCUCAUAUUCAGUCUGUUUUUGCUGCAAUCAGAAAUCAACGGAUAACCUCCACCUCAGCUAAUUUAGUGCUCAUGAGUUCUUUGAGUUUUCCCUUUCUGUAUCCUCAGAGGAAAAUGAAAUGGGGAGGAGUGGCCAGCUUACCAUUAGAGCCACUGUCAGCUGCCAACUGGCAAAAUUAGAAAACAAUCCCUUUUUGCUGAUUAUGCAGAAAGCUUUGAUGGUCUACACGAGUCUGGCACUGUUGAGCAUGGCAGGAGCCACUAUACACAAAAGCAUCAACCAAACUGCUCCCUAGAGAUGUACAAUGUGAGUAAUAGUGGGUUAAUUUCUCUGGAAAUUUCUGAAAGAGAUGACUGGAUAUCAAUAAAUUACUCCAGAUUACCAAAAUGAAGUGCUGCAAAAUCCUCAAGGGAGUCAUACAAUAUGGUCAAGGAGACUCUUUCCUUCUAUUCUUAAAGGUGGCUUGCAAUACAUACAUAUAUAUACAAAGAUUUUGACAUUUAGUGGUACUUUAUGAAGGAAGAAGACCUAAAAGUUAUUUGAUUUGGUUUAGCCUUUCCCUAGCAGGCAAUAGUUCCUUUAAUUUAAGAACAUCCACUACUUUCUCUGUUUCUCUUUUCUUUACAGGGAAGUAUAGGUCAUGAAGUUGAUACUUCCUUAGGCUUUAAUUGAAACUGAGAUUAGUGCACUGGAGCUUGAGUCAUUUUUUAUGUCUUUGAGCUCUUUAUGUAGCUGUUGCUCAGAUGUUUGAGUCGCAUAGGUGUUAAUCAAAACAAAGGAUUUGAUUACACAGCUUCUGCAAUGGUUUAAUUAAAUUGAUGCAACCCCAAUUCAUUUUUGUUAGAUCAGCACAAAACCCCAUGCAUAGACAAGCCCAAAGCAUUUUAGAGUACCUAGUGAGAACUUAUUUGCUUUCACAUUUUGCUCCUAUUUUAUUUAAUUGUUUUUUCUGGUGGGAUGAGGCUUCUGGUUCACAACUGUCAUACCGGCUUCUGGGAGUCAGAUUGUAAGCAAGACCUGAAUAAAGAAAACAAGCUGCAAAACAAUCAUCAGUUUUAUCACUGCCCUUUUUACUUUUUGAACCAACAGAGCAUUGACCCUGUGGGAGAAUGCUGUGCUGAAAGCCAAAGAAAGCCUUUUAAGCAUAAGAUGCUGGGUCUGCUCUGGGACCAGGAAAUCAAUCUGCUCUACAGUGAUGCUUCCCACCAGCCCUGAAGAACAACAGCUAUCUCAAAAAGGAGACACCUGGCAGCAGGCAGCAGAAGCUGAUGCAGGAAAGCCAGGACAAGAAAUAGUACUGAGACUGCAUUUCAAAUUGGAACAUCCCAUCAACAUGGAUUCAAUUAAUUCCCACUGUUGUAAUGUCCCAGAUUGAAAAGCAAGAUGUAUUCUAUUUGCCAUCUGUAUGGCAGUUGUCUUGUGUUAAGUGGGCAUUUUUUCCUUAUCUCUUCCACAAUCAAUCCUCCCUCUGGGGAGACAUCUACUGAUAAUGGGCCAUUGAAUGUCACUGCAUGACUGAUAAGAACUAUAACAUCCCAUUGUAAAAUGCUCCGUCCAGGGGGGAGAAAAGCCAAGCAUUCCUACCUGCAUACAGUCCUGAGAUUCUGGCCCACCAACACAGCUUUUUCUGCACUGAGGAAAAGCUGCCUCUUCCACUGCGUCUUCAGAGGAAGACUGCACCCUUUUUCUACAGCAUCACUGCUCCAACAGAACCACACCCGACACUCCAAGAGGACUGCAGACACAAUACCAUUUAGACUUCUACCCACACCCUGUCCAACAGGGUGUCAGGUUGUAUUGACUCUGUCAGUGUUUUGGUUCACUGCAUUGUUUAUCUUUUUAUUUUCUUCCCUAAUAAAGAAUUGUUGUUCCUGCUCCCAUAUUUUGCCUGAGAGCCCCCCUUAAUUUCAAAUUUAUAACAAUUCAGAGGGAAGAGGUCUACAUUUUUACAUAUAAGGGGAGGCUCCUGCCUUCCUUAGCAGACACCUGUCUUUCCAAACCAAGAUAUGUUCCAUUCCAGGACUAAAAGGAACAGAAAAUGAAAGCCGUAGUUCUAUGACUUUAUUUUAUCCUUGGAUAAGACAGUGGUUACACUUCUUCAGCAUGGGAAGUGGAAGUGGUCUGUUUUAAAAUUGUAAGGGCUAUCAUGGAAAGAGAUGACCUUGCACGUUUGUUCUAGGGAUACCCUACAUCUGCAUUGCUCCAUCCUCUUUGUCUUUGUGUCAUUUUUUUCUAUUUUAUUGUCCAAGUGGAAAAAGAUAAAUAUGGCAGUUUGGCUAAGAUUUCCAGACCUCUGGUCUGGUUAACAUUACAUGGAUAUGUUAACCUUCCAUGGAUAUGUAGGCCUUCCCAUUUAUUUCACAGAUGGUAUAUACUUGCACAAUAACUCAGUUGCAUCUCAGAUACCUCUCAGUGUGUCAGAUUCAGUGUGGUGUGUCACACUGUGCGCCUUCACACACUCCUGACUGUGAAAUACUAGAUAGAAAUACAGCAAUGUCAAUAACUUCAUGCAUGUGAGGAUUGUGCAUAAGCAAAGCACAUAGUGCUUUGUUUCAUAGUGAGGUUUCAUAGUGAGGCAGAGACCAGAAUGUCUCUCCAUAAACACAGUAAUUUUGUGUGCUCUGUAGUGCAACCCAAAGCCAUUAUAAGCAGUAUGGCAGUCCAUACUCCUGUCUCACUUCUUGUGUUAGUAGUGACUGGUGAUAACAAAGGAAUUAAAGAUAGGACCAAUGAAAAUAUUGUUACACAAAGGAAGUAACUGCUUUGUGCAGGACAUGUAAUGUGCCUGAUGUAAGAUUAGUAUGCACUUACGCUCCUUUCUGAGGUUUGUGAUUUGGAAAUAUUAUUUUGUUUUUCACAGACAAAAUAUUUUGCUGAUAACUCUGUUCCAUAAGACUGUAGUAUAAUUCAAGUUGGAAGUAGCCUCGUGUCUCUUGUACCCAUAAGUUAAGCCCAAGGUUACUCUGGACUUUAUCCAGUUAGGUCUUGAAAAGCCCUAAGGAUGGUGACUGCUCUGUCUCUCUGCUAAGCUGUUUUUCUGUCUAACAUAGGGAAAUGUUUUUCCUUAUAUUCACCUUGAAUAUAUCUUGCCUCAGUUUAUGCCCAUUGUCUGUCAUCGUCCCACCAUUCGCUGCAGUGAAGAUCCUAGAGCCACCUCCUUGCAUAUACUGGCAGUCUGCAUCAAAAGCUGUUUCUUCUCCAGGCUGAUCACCACAUCCUCUACUCUCUUGCAACCAGACAAGUGCUCCAAAGCCUAGAACAUCUUGGUAGCCCUUUACUGGAUAUGCUUCAGUAUGAUAGUGGAUUUAUUGCAUUGGGGAAUCCAAAUCUGUACACAAUAUUUUAGAUGUUGUCUGACAAAUACUGAGUAAAGGGAGAUUAUCACUUUCCUGUCCAUGCUUCUGCUGAAACAGCACAAGAUGCUGUUGGUUUUCCCUACUGCCAGGCAGACUGCUAGCUCAUCCUGACUGGCUCCAUGAUUCCCAGGUCCUUCUUAACUAGCUGCUCUGCAGCUAGCUAGUACCCAGCCUGUAUCAUUGCCAGGAUUAUACCUUCUCAGGUGCAGGACUUUCCUUUUCCCCUUGCUAAAUUUCACAAGGUUAUGGUUGACCUAUUCCUCCAGCUUAUCUAGGUCAGUCUGGUUGGCAGCUCUGCCCUGAAGUGCAUCAACUGGUUCCCCCUGUUCAGUGUCAUCUGCAAACUUGAUGAGAGUUUACUCCAUAUCCCCUCCGGGUUACAAUAAAGGUGUUGAAAGAUACCAAGAAUGAUGUUAGAUUAUUAGAAUGUUGUAUAUGUUUUCAUACAUAAGAAAGCCUCUUGAAGGAGAGCUUACUGCCAGUUAGACCCAUCCACUUCCUGUAACCUCAGGACAUUAUGAACAAACGUGUGAGUCGUGUGGCAGGCACAGUCCAAACCCUAGCAGGCAGUUGUGCCAUCUGCACAAAAGGUGCGCAGCCGCAGCAUUGUGCUCAGCCUCAGUGCUGCCAAGACCAUCUAAUUGGCUGAAGAGGUUCUUGUCCCUAUGGAUUAGAGUCCCUGCAAACCAAUCCUUCCUGCAAGUCAGCUAUAUCACAGGUUGAGAGUGUCGUCAAUGAACGUAACCAUAAAUGGAUAUAGAUGUGCAUAGUGUAGAGGGUAUAAAGUUCUCUGCCUAAGGGAAUGAGACAUAACCUCAGGGAAGACAGUUCUUGGGUCUAUACAAUCAUGAAUAAGUCAAUUAUGUUAUUUUACAAUUUAAUUUCUUGCUUCUAAACUACAUAAACAUCUUUUGAGGAUAACUAACAUUUUACAAAUAUUGGUGAUUGGAUUUGGGUAGCAGUAGUUUUCCCUGACUCUGAGUGAGAGCAGGAGCCUGUGCAUCAUAUCCCAUACAUAAAUAUACUGUGGGUUAUGCAUGGUCCUCAGAGGGAGGUUUCACAUGGGGAAAAGGAAAACUGAGGAAAGGUGAACACGAAUAUUAGAAGCCUUAUCAGUAUUUACAUGAAAGAUUUAAAGUACUGCUAUACAAAUGAAUGAUUAGCAAUACAAUAUUUGGGAAAUUCCUCUUAAAAAUCAUAAAAGAACUUCAUAACAAAACUGUUGUAUGUCCAAAUUUUACAAUGCAGAGGCCAAUAAUCUAUAUCAUCCUUAAACUAGGGUGUUUGUGAUAAAAAAUUCCAUAUCCAAUUAGUAUAAGAACAUUUUAAAUAGGAAAGUUGAUUGUUGUUUGUUUAAAAAUCACAUUCUCCUUUCGCUGUAAAGACCAACUGCUCAUAAUCAGAACUACACCUGCUUUUAACUUUUAUUUCUCAUUAAGUGUAGAAACAAAGCAAAAUAAACUCCUAGUGUUGAGCCUGACCCCAUGCCCUUGGAAAACAAAAGAAGAACAAUACUCCUGGUAACUUCGGAGGGCAUUGCAUCCAGACCAUUGUUUUUAGAAGUCAAAAACUAACACAGAUUGUUCAUUUCCUGGCAUUGGCAUCAGCAGUAAAUAGGAUUGCCUCACAAAACCUUGCUCAGUCCUCUGGGACAAAGGAUAAGAGCAUGUUACAUUGCUCAACAAUGCUCUCCAACCAGCUACACAGCAGCACUGUUUAAUUUCAAUAGCUCAUUACCUCCUUGUCAGUAAAAUGAGUCCAUUGAGUUGAAACUACGGGAAGAAGAGUGAAAGCCAGCAAGAAGGGUGGGUCUGAAAUACCAUUGUCCAAUAUACCCUGCUUCCCAAUGAAUCCUGCAGGAGAUAGAGGCUAACACUAUGGAAAAGCAGCAAGGUGAUAAAUUAUUCAUCUGAGGGAACAUAGUGGCUGCUGGAUGGCCACAGUCUUCUUGGUACCACUUUAGGACAGGAAGUAUCCUUCUGUCUUGUAGCCUCCACAGGGUAGGCAUCUAUACUAUUGCCAGUUGUCAAGACUCCCUCCAGAGUGAAUGAACAGAAAUAGGCCUUCCUACUCUAUCUCCUAAAUUGAGGUGAUUCAUUUAAUCUAUUUCAGACAUCGGAAAUGGGAUGAGAGCAGCUCUGCCCUCAGAAGGCCUGUUCCCUUGACUAUAAAGGGAGCCUAGACAGUUAACUCAGAGACAGACACCUACAAUGCAGAAUCUAUAUUUGGACAGAUGAAUCCUGCUGCUGGUGUUUACUAUAAAUAGAGAAGUGCACAGUAUAUUUAAAGCAGAAAAUCCAUUGGGUACUGCUGAGAUUAUUGUUAAUGCUACUUAAACUAGUUAAUUAAAUAACUAGUCAAUCACCCCCUAGUGUAGAGAAGACCAACCAUACAGCUACUGAAGUCAAUAGCAAAAUUCUUGCAGGCAACAGCAAGCUCUGAUCUGUGUCUAUGUAAACCCAUGCAUUAAAGCAAGAGGAAAACCCAGCCUUAUUUCUAGAUCCAGUCCUUUUCAUUUUUUUAUGUUAUGGAAAUUUGAAUAUUUCCGUCUGCUGGUUGUAGUUGAAGGAAGCAGCUGCAAAGCUCAGCUGAACAACUACAGCUCUCCCUGUGAAUAUUCCUAGUUUGCCCAAUUGCAAGAUCUGAGAUAUAAAUGUAAGCCUGUUUCAAGGGUGUUCACUGCCCCCAUAAUUUAAGACUGAAUUGCCAUUUAAGACCCAUUACUAAUAAAUUUGGGGUAAUGUCUUUACAAAAUUAAAUAGCUGGCAAUGACAAGUUUCUUUAUCAUAGGAGUGACAGCCCUAAAUGUCAUCAAUGUAAAUCAGAUCAAAGUAAUGAUUCUGGUACCUAAACUGCUAAAAAUGCAGCACUGGAUACUGUAAAAUCAACUAUAGCUAUAUUGACUAUAGUACAAAUGUUUUCAUAUACUCACUCAUAAAUCAGUUUGAACUGGAUUGUGGAAACAGCAUGAUAGACAAGGGAUUAAUUUAUGUGGAUAUUUUUAUAAUUAAAGGGAAGAAAACCUUUCAUAAGACUGACUUCCAGGUGGCUAACUGCCAUCUCUGAGAGAAUGUGUUAUGCAACACUGGACAUAUUUACCAUGGAGAAAGAGUCACCAGCCUAAAAGGCUGGUUUGAUUGGUUUGAACUUUAUAGUGGUUGGUGAAAAUUUUUAAGUCUUUCUUAAAAUGUAAACAGAUUUAGCCAUGACAGCUAGACCACAAUUCUUUGUUUCCCCUCUGCCUUAUUAGGGGACUAAUUUCUCUAGUGGAACCUCACAUUCCAGUAAGUAUCCUGGUUGAAAUGAAACAAAAUUUGUUUCUUACUUGUUGACUUCUCCCUACCUGUGUGAUAAUUUGAGACUGCAUGCCUACUGUAAUUGUGAAAUCAUCUCUGAGAAAUGAGUAGGAGUUCAUGAAGUGCUGCAAUUAGCCCUAAGGGUUAAAAGUGGCAGAGGGGUUAAGAAAUUGGAAAAACAAUCAUACAUUUAGAGAGGUCUUCCCCUAUGGAUCAAGGGUGAUAUGAUGAUAUGGCAGGUAAGAAAAGAGUAAAGUAGACCCAAAAAUUAGUGGACCCAAACAGGUGAAUGAAGAAGAGAAAGGAUGGGUUUUUUGUCUCACAUCACCUCACUGUUGAACCUUCUAAAAGCAAAAUAGCAGGAACCAUUAUGGUGGAAGAGGUUUCAGAAGAACUUCCUGAGGAAAGAACACUGGUUAAUUUUUUCCCCCACUGAGCAAUUUCCACCAGACGCAGGCUAUCAAACAAGACUGUUGGCUCUUCCCAAUAAAAAAGCUAAAAAAAAAAAAAAAAAAAAAA
Taeniopygia guttata (zebra finch) is the source of this 10644-nucleotide long non-coding RNA. The record is from Ensembl. NCBI's taxonomy places the organism in Eukaryota, Metazoa, Chordata, Aves, Passeriformes, Estrildidae.